RNAcentral lists this ribosomal RNA (465 nucleotides) under uncultured bacterium. RNAcentral describes it as "partial 16S ribosomal RNA". It matches the Rfam family "Bacterial small subunit ribosomal RNA", at positions 28 to 507 of the family's 1533-position model. The record is from RNAcentral.
GACGAACGCUGGCGGCGUGCUUAACACAUGCAAGUCGAACGGAAAGGCCCUGCUUGCAGGGUACUCGAGUGGCGAACGGGUGAGUAACACGUGGGUGAUCUGCCCUGCACUUCGGGAUAAGCCUGGGAAACUGGGUCUAAUACCGGAUAGGAGCCAUUUUUAGUGUGAUGGUUGGAAAGUUUUUUCGGUGUAGGAUGAGCUCGCGGCCUAUCAGCUUGUUGGUGGGGUAAUGGCCUACCAAGGCGGCGACGGGUAGCCGGCCUGAGAGGGUGGACGGCCACAUUGGGACUGAGAGACGGCCCAGACUCCUACGGGAGGCAGCAGUGGGGAAUAUUGCACAAUGGGCGCAAGCCUGAUGCAGCGACGCCGCGUGGGGGAUGACAGCCUUCGGGUUGUAAACUCCUUUCGCUAGGGACGAAGCUUUUUGUGACGGUACCUAGAUAAGAAGCACCGGCUAACUACGUG